RNAcentral lists this ribosomal RNA (253 nucleotides) under uncultured bacterium. Its description in RNAcentral is "partial 16S ribosomal RNA". It matches the Rfam family "Bacterial small subunit ribosomal RNA", at positions 524 to 776 of the family's 1533-position model. The record is from RNAcentral.
UACGGAGGGUGCGAGCGUUGUCCGGAAUCAUUGGGCGUAAAGGGCGCGUAGGUGGCCCGGUCAGUUCGUGGUGAAAGCCCCGGGCUCAACCCGGGAGGGUCGCGGCGAACUGGGAGGCUUGAGGCCGGUAGAGGUGGGUGGAACUCCUGGUGGAGUGGUGAAAUGCGUAGAGAUCAGGAAGAACACCCGUGGCGAAGGCGGCCCACUGGGCCGGUGCUGACGCUGAGGCGCGAAGGCGUGGGGAGCGAACGGG